Molecule: long non-coding RNA, 194 nt
Organism: Oncorhynchus nerka (sockeye salmon)
Lineage: Eukaryota; Metazoa; Chordata; Actinopteri; Salmoniformes; Salmonidae
Exons: 3
Source: RefSeq, a predicted model, not a curated record
UCUGUCCUUAGAUUACUCUAUUUUCACUGCACCAGGGCUAAAGAGCAAGGACCCGUAUGAUCAACAGCCAGUAAAAUGCAAAGGCAUGGCCAAGGUUCCCCUGGUUCAGCAGGCCAAAAUUACUCUAUUUUCACUGCACCAGGGCUAAAGAGCAAGGACCCGUAUGAUCAACAGCCAGUAAAAUGCAAAGGUAA